RNAcentral lists this ribosomal RNA (483 nucleotides) under uncultured bacterium. RNAcentral's name for it is "SSU rRNA". It matches the Rfam family "Bacterial small subunit ribosomal RNA", at positions 26 to 518 of the family's 1533-position model. The record is from RNAcentral.
AGGACGAACGCUGGCGGCGUGCCUAAUGCAUGCAAGUCGAGCGACGAAUAGGUGCGGGUAACCAAACCUAUUACGGAGCGGCGAACGGGUGAGUAACACGUGAGCAACCUGCCCCGAAGACCGGGAUAGCCCAGGGAAACUUGGAUUAAUACCGGAUAUCCUCCUUUGAUCGCAUGGUCGUUGGAAGAAAUGCUUUUACGCUUCGGGAUGGGCUCGCGGCCUAUCAGCUUGUUGGUGGGGUAACGGCCUACCAAGGCGUCGACGGGUAGCUGGUCUGAGAGGACGAUCAGCCACACUGGGACUGAGACACGGCCCAGACUCCUACGGGAGGCAGCAGUGGGGAAUAUUGGACAAUGGGCGAAAGCCUGAUCCAGCAAUGCCGCGUGAGUGAUGAAGGCCUUAGGGUUGUAAAGCUCUUUUACCCGGGAUGAUAAUGACAGUACCGGGAGAAUAAGCCCCGGCUAACUCCGUGCCAGCAGCCGC